RNAcentral lists this transfer RNA (72 nucleotides) under Phrynosoma platyrhinos (Desert horned lizard). RNAcentral describes it as "tRNA-OTHER". Lineage: Eukaryota; Metazoa; Chordata; Lepidosauria; Squamata; Phrynosomatidae. The record is from RNAcentral.
GCCAGCAUAGCAUAGUGGUUUGAGUGUUAGACUGUGACUCUGGAGACCAGGGUUAGAUUCCCAGCCUGGUCA